UACGUAGGGGGCAAGCGUUAUCCGGAAUUACUGGGUGUAAAGGGAGCGUAGACGGUAAUGUAAGUCUGGAGUGAAAGGCGGGGGCCCAACCCCCGGACUGCUCUGGAAACUAUGUUACUAGAGUGCAGGAGAGGUAAGCGGAAUUCCUAGUGUAGCGGUGAAAUGCGUAGAUAUUAGGAGGAACACCAGUGGCGAAGGCGGCUUACUGGACUGUAACUGACGUUGAGGCUUGAAAGCGUGGGGAGCAAACAGG
This 253-nucleotide ribosomal RNA is filed under the name uncultured bacterium. RNAcentral describes it as "partial 16S ribosomal RNA". It matches the Rfam family "Bacterial small subunit ribosomal RNA", at positions 524 to 776 of the family's 1533-position model. The record is from RNAcentral.